Molecule: ribosomal RNA, 748 nt
Filed under: uncultured bacterium
Lineage: Bacteria
Description: bacterial SSU rRNA
Rfam family: Bacterial small subunit ribosomal RNA
Source: RNAcentral
AUGCGUAGAUAUGUGGAGGAACACCAAUGGCGAAGGCAGUCUUCUGGGCCAAUAUUGACGCUGAGGCUCGAAAGCGUGGGUAGCAAACAGGAUUAGAUACCCUGGUAGUCCACGCCGUAAACGCUGAGAACUAGACGUUGGCUGACAUAGUCGGCCAGUGUCGCAGCUAACGCGUUAAGUUCUCCGCCUGGGGAGUACGGCCGCAAGGUUGAAACUCAAAUGAAUUGACGGGGGCCCGCACAAGCGGUGGAGCAUGUGGUUUAAUUCGAUGCAACGCGAAGAACCUUACCUGCCCUUGACAUCCUGCGAAUCCGGUAGAGAUGCCGGAGUGCCUUCGGGAACGCAGAGACAGGUGCUGCAUGGCUGUCGUCAGCUCGUGUUGUGAAAUGUUGGGUUAAGUCCCGUAACGAGCGCAACCCCUGUCCCUUUUUGCCAGCGGUCCGGCCGGGAACUUCAGGGAGACUGCCGGUGACAAACCGGAGGAAGGUGGGGACGACGUCAAGUCAUCAUGGCCCUUACGGGCAGGGCUACACACGUGCUACAAUGGCCGGUACAGAGGGUUGCGAAGCCGCGAGGUGAAGCCAAUCCCGCAAAGCCGGCCUCAGUCCGGAUCGGAGUCUGCAACUCGACUCCGUGAAGUCGGAAUCGCUAGUAAUCGCGGAUCAGAAUGCCGCGGUGAAUACGUUCCCGGGCCUUGUACACACCGCCCGAAUCCCGCGGCCAUGNGGCUGGAGCUCAUGCAUGGUGG